AAUGUCCUGCGGUGUUCGAGAUCGGAUUAAUAUUUUGCCCAACACCAUAAUAUAAGGGAGCCUGGACUUCAUUUGUGGCGUACAAGCCUCCAACUAGAGAGGAAGUAUAAAGCAGAUGGGAGGGCACCCACUUUGAAGCUAAGAGCAAAAUACAAAAUCUAGUACGGCACUGCGGGACAAUU
Molecule: non-coding RNA, 182 nt
Filed under: Orenia metallireducens
Lineage: Bacteria; Bacillati; Bacillota; Clostridia; Halanaerobiales; Halobacteroidaceae
Description: 6S / SsrS RNA
Rfam family: 6S / SsrS RNA
About the family: E. coli 6S RNA was the first non coding RNA to be sequenced, but its function was unknown until recently.
Source: Rfam by way of RNAcentral